RNAcentral lists this transfer RNA (73 nucleotides) under Stegodyphus mimosarum. It matches the Rfam family "tRNA". From Rfam's summary of the family: Transfer RNA (tRNA) molecules are approximately 80 nucleotides in length. Their secondary structure includes four short double-helical elements and three loops (D, anti-codon, and T loops). Further hydrogen bonds mediate the characteristic L-shaped molecular structure. tRNAs have two regions of fundamental functional importance: the anti-codon, which is responsible for specific mRNA codon recognition, and the 3' end, to which the tRNAs corresponding amino acid is attached (by aminoacyl-tRNA synthetases). tRNAs cope with the degeneracy of the genetic code in two manners: having more than one tRNA (with a specific anti-codon) for a particular amino acid; and 'wobble' base-pairing, i.e. permitting non-standard base-pairing at the 3rd anti-codon position. The record is from Rfam by way of RNAcentral. Lineage: Eukaryota; Metazoa; Arthropoda; Arachnida; Araneae; Eresidae.
GCCUUCGUGGUGUAGUAGUCAGCACGCUCGAAUCAUAUUUAAGAGAUCUGUGGUUCAAGUCCCGGUGAGGGCA